CUCAUCCCAUUCUCAUACACUGUAGCUCCUCAGCAGAUGACGCUGCAUUUCCCCAGGCUCAAGGGGCAGCUUUUGGUGUGCCGAAAACAGCUAAUUUGGCAAGGACACCCAGCAGGUGGAACUGGUGGGUUCAGCUCCAGGCUGUGGGGAUGCACAGUCUCCUGCUCUCAAUUACUCCCAUUUGCAGCUGCACACAGUAGAAACGUGGAAAUGAUCAGCUGUAUGCAAAAAUGGACCACGAUGCAAAUACACACAGAAGAGUUUAACACAGACAUCUCAUUUUAAAUGAUGCCUGCUUGGCAAUAUGGCCAUCUUUGAAUAAAGGCAAGGAGGGGAUCCUGACUGGAAGCAGUCCUCAAAUGCCCAGCACCA
Molecule: long non-coding RNA, 372 nt
Organism: Passer domesticus (house sparrow)
Lineage: Eukaryota; Metazoa; Chordata; Aves; Passeriformes; Passeridae
Exons: 2
Source: RefSeq, a predicted model, not a curated record